Molecule: transfer RNA, 93 nt
Filed under: Paraburkholderia sp. SUR17
Lineage: Bacteria; Pseudomonadati; Pseudomonadota; Betaproteobacteria; Burkholderiales; Burkholderiaceae
Description: tRNA-Sec
Rfam family: Selenocysteine transfer RNA
Source: RNAcentral
GGAAGGCAUUCGUAUCCGGUGGUGCGGCUGGGCUUCAAACCCAGUAGGGGACGUCAGCCGUUCCCUUGUAGGUUCGACUCCUGCUGCCUUCCG